UACGUAGGGCGCAAGCGUUGUCCGGAAUUAUUGGGCGUAAAGAGCUCGUAGGCGGUUUGUCGCGUCUGCUGUGAAAACCUAAGGCUCAACCUUGGGCUUGCAGUGGGUACGGGCAGGCUAGAGUUCGGUAGGGGGAGACUGGAAUUCCUGGUGUAGCGGUGAAAUGCGCAGAUAUCAGGAGGAACACCGGUGGCGAAGGCGGGGUCUCUGGGGCCGAUACUGACGCUGAGGAGCGAAAGCGUGGGGGAGCGAACAGGA
This 258-nucleotide ribosomal RNA is filed under the name uncultured bacterium. Its description in RNAcentral is "partial 16S ribosomal RNA". It matches the Rfam family "Bacterial small subunit ribosomal RNA", at positions 524 to 777 of the family's 1533-position model. The record is from RNAcentral.